This 416-nucleotide ribosomal RNA is filed under the name uncultured bacterium. RNAcentral's name for it is "bacterial SSU rRNA". It matches the Rfam family "Bacterial small subunit ribosomal RNA", at positions 355 to 772 of the family's 1533-position model. The record is from RNAcentral.
UGAGGAAUAUUGCACAAUGGGCGCAAGCCUGAUGCAGCGACGCCGCGUGUGGGAUGAAGGGGCUACGCCUCGUAAACCACUGUAGCCCGGGACGCAAAACGCCUUAGAGGCGUUAGACGGUACCGGGAAAGUAAGGGUCGGCUAACUACGUGCCAGCAGCCGCGGUAAUACGUAGGACCAAAGCGUUGUCCGGAUUUACUGGGUGUAAAGGGUGCGCAGGCGGAUGGGUAAGUCAGGGGUGAAAGUCUGCAGCUUAACUGUAGAAUUGCCUUUGAUACGGCUCAUCUUGAGUGUGAGAGAGGUUGAUCGAAUUCCAGGUGUAUCAGUGAAAUGCGUAGAUAUCUGGAAGAACACCAGUGGCGAAGGCGGGCAACUGGCCCAUAACUGACGCUCAUGCACGAAAGCGGGGGAGCAAA